This 640-nucleotide ribosomal RNA is filed under the name uncultured soil bacterium. RNAcentral's name for it is "bacterial SSU rRNA". It matches the Rfam family "Bacterial small subunit ribosomal RNA", at positions 154 to 774 of the family's 1533-position model. The record is from RNAcentral.
GAACGGCUGCUAAUACCGCAUAAUGCAGCGGCUCGACAUCGAGACAGUUGUUAAAGCGGGGGAUCGCAAGACCUCGCGCCUAAAGAGGAGCCUGCGGCGGAUUAGCUAGUUGGUGAGGUAAUGGCUCACCAAGGCAUCGAUCCGUAGCCGGCCUGAGAGGGCGGUCGGCCACACUGACACUGACAUACGGGUCAGACUCCUACGGGAGGCAGCAGUCGGGAAUUUUGGGCAAUGGGCGAAAGCCUGACCCAGCAACGCCGCGUGAAGGAUGAAAUCCCUCGGGAUGUAAACUUCGCAAGAACAGGAAGAAUAAGUGGGGGACAAUACCCCCCAUGAUGACGGUACUGUUUGUAAGCUCCGGCUAACUCCGUGCCAGCAGCCGCGGUAAUACGGGGGGAGCAAGCGUUGUUCGGAUUUACUGGGCGUAAAGGGCGCGUAGGCGGUCGUGACAAGUCACUUGUGAAAUCUCCGGGCUUAACUCGGAAAGGUCAAGUGAUACUGUCGGACUAGAGUGCAGAAGGGGCAACUGGAAUUCUCGGUGUAGCGGUGAAAUGCGUAGAUAUCGAGAGGAAGACCUGCGGCGAAGGCGGGUUGCUGGGCUGACACUGACGCUGAGGCGCGAAAGCCAGGGGAGCGAACG